AUGUAUAGCAAUAGCUACUUGCAUCAUUGUAAAUAUGAUGCAAGAUCGACUAUGUCGAAUAAAAUUCUAGGUAGAAUUAUGAUAAUGACAUUGUCUGCCUAUGUGUCUUGACCAAAUUACGUGCCAGCAGUCGCGGUAAUACGUAGAAGACUAGUGUUAUUCAUGUUUAAUCGGUUUAAAGGGUACCUAGACGGUAAAUCAAGCCUAAAAGGAAAUAAAUGAAGGGACUAAUUUACUAGAGUUACUUAUGAGGGGGUAUUAAAGUACUGCUGGUGUAGAGAUGAAAUUCUGUCAUACCUCUUUUCAAUAGAAAAAUAAUGGCACAGGUAUAGGCGAAAGCAUCCCCUUAUGUGAUAACUGACGUUGAGGGACGAAGGCUUUGUGUAGCGAACAGGAUUAGAUACCCCAGUAGUCAAAGCAGAAAAUGAUGAAUGUCAUAGAUUAGAUAUAUAAGUUUAUUCUAUAAAUGAAAGUGUAAGCAUUCCACCUCAAGAGUAAUUUGGCAACAUUGGAACUGAAAUCAUUAGACCGUUUCUGAAACCAGUAGUGAAGUAUGUUGUUUAAUUUGAUGAUCCGCAAAAAACCUUACCACAAUUUGAAUAUUUAUAUCUUAUAUUGUUUUUUUUUAACUUUAUUCUAAUUUUCUACUUAAAAGAAGACAAUAACAAGAAAAAAGAGACAAUAAGAUAUAUUUACAAGCGUUGCACGGCUGUCUUCAGUUAAUGUCGCGAGACUAUGGUUAGUUCCAUUAAAUUAACGUAAACCCUUACUUUAUUUUUAUAUAGAGUAGUUCCCCGCUAUAUUGGAUAUGAUAACAGGGACUAAGAC
RNAcentral lists this ribosomal RNA (828 nucleotides) under Cetraria nigricans. RNAcentral's name for it is "SSU rRNA". It matches the Rfam family "Bacterial small subunit ribosomal RNA", at positions 359 to 1186 of the family's 1533-position model. Lineage: Eukaryota; Fungi; Ascomycota; Lecanoromycetes; Lecanorales; Parmeliaceae. The record is from RNAcentral.